GUGCUCACUCGGGCAGCACAAACACUAACACUGGAACGACACAGAGAGGAUUAGCAUGGCCCCUGGGCAAGGAUGAGACGCAAGUUCGUGAAGCAUUCCCUAUUUUU
Molecule: small nuclear RNA, 107 nt
Organism: Suricata suricatta (meerkat)
Lineage: Eukaryota; Metazoa; Chordata; Mammalia; Carnivora; Herpestidae
Source: Ensembl